This 814-nucleotide ribosomal RNA is filed under the name Pseudeurotium sp. 795_2_CY02. Its description in RNAcentral is "eukaryotic LSU rRNA". It matches the Rfam family "Eukaryotic large subunit ribosomal RNA", at positions 90 to 925 of the family's 3401-position model. Lineage: Eukaryota; Fungi; Ascomycota; Leotiomycetes; Thelebolales; Pseudeurotiaceae. The record is from RNAcentral.
CGAGUGAAGCGGCAACAGCUCAAAUUUGAAAUCUGGCCUCACGGUCCGAGUUGUAAUUUGUAGAGGAUGUUUCGAGCAUGGUCUGGCCUAAGUUCCUUGGAACAGGACGUCAUAGAGGGUGAGAAUCCCGUAUGCGGUCAGGUGCCUACGCUCAUGUGAAGCUCCUUCGACGAGUCGAGUUGUUUGGGAAUGCAGCUCAAAAUGGGUGGUAAAUUUCAUCUAAAGCUAAAUAUUGGCCAGAGACCGAUAGCGCACAAGUAGAGUGAUCGAAAGAUGAAAAGCACUUUGGAAAGAGAGUUAAACAGUACGUGAAAUUGUUGAAAGGGAAGCGCUUGCAACCAGACUUGCACGCGGCUGAUCAUCCGGUGUUCUCACCGGUGCACUCGGUCGCGUUCAGGCCAGCAUCGGUUUUGGUGGUUGGAUAAAGGCCCUAGGAAUGUGGCUCCUCUCGGGGAGUGUUAUAGCCUAGGGUGCAAUGCAGCCUACCGGGACCGAGGACCGCGCUUCGGCUAGGAUGCUGGCGUAAUGGUUGUAAGCGACCCGUCUUGAAACACGGACCAAGGAGUCUAACAUCUAUGCGAGUGUUUGGGUGUCAAACCCAUACGCGUAAUGAAAGUGAACGGAGGUGAGAACCCUUAAGGGUGCAUCAUCGACCGAUCCUGAUGUCUUCGGAUGGAUUUGAGUAAGAGCAUAGCUGUUGGGACCCGAAAGAUGGUGAACUAUGCCUGAAUAGGGUGAAGCCAGAGGAAACUCUGGUGGAGGCUCGCAGCGGUUCUGACGUGCAAAUCGAUCGUCAAAUUUGGGCAUAGGGGCG